This is a non-coding RNA of Podarcis lilfordi (Lilford's wall lizard), 76 nucleotides long. NCBI's taxonomy places the organism in Eukaryota, Metazoa, Chordata, Lepidosauria, Squamata, Lacertidae. The record is from the annotation of a GenBank genome assembly.
ACCAGUGGGUAGCUCAAUUGGCUACAGCAUGGUGCUGGUAACACCAAGGUUGCAGGUUCAAUCCCUGUAUUUGGCA